This 526-nucleotide ribosomal RNA is filed under the name Acanthamoeba sp. MA32. RNAcentral's name for it is "bacterial SSU rRNA". The stretch from base 1 to 362 matches the Rfam family "Eukaryotic small subunit ribosomal RNA", at positions 775 to 1116 of the family's 1831-position model. Lineage: Eukaryota; Discosea; Longamoebia; Acanthamoebidae. The record is from RNAcentral.
CCAUAGUCAGCAGCAAUCCAUUUUCUGCCCCGAAUACAUUAGCAUGGGAUAAUGGAAUAGGACCCUGUCCUCCUAUUUUCAGUUGGUUUUGGCAGCGCGAGGACUAGGGUAAUGAUUAAUAGGGAUAGUUGGGGGCAUUAAUAUUUAAUUGUCAGAGGUGAAAUUCUUGGAUUUAUGAAAGAUUAACUUCUGCGAAAGCAUCUGCCAAGGAUGUUUUCAUUAAUCAAGAACGAAAGUUAGGGGAUCGAAGACGAUCAGAUACCGUCGUAGUCUUAACCAUAAACGAUGCCGACCAGCGAUUAGGAGACGUUGAAUACAAAACACCACCAUCGGUUGCGGUCGUCCUUGGCGUCUCGGUUUCGGCCGGGGCGCGGGGACGGUUUAGCCCGGUGGCACCGGUGAAUGACUCCCCUACCACCUUGUGACAAACUAUAUAAGCCCAGCUACACAUAACGCCUCCAUUUAGACCCCCUUCCCUAUCAUCAAAUAAAUUUACAUAUCUCUCUAUAUAUUCUCUCCCAAUAUU